This 490-nucleotide ribosomal RNA is filed under the name uncultured bacterium. RNAcentral describes it as "bacterial SSU rRNA". It matches the Rfam family "Bacterial small subunit ribosomal RNA", at positions 28 to 515 of the family's 1533-position model. The record is from RNAcentral.
GAUGAACGCUAGCGGCAGGCUUAACACAUGCAAGUCGAGGGGUAACAUUGUGCUUGCACAGAUGACGACCGGCGCACGGGUGCGUAACGCGUAUAGAACCUACCUUUUACAGAGGGAUAGCCUUUAGAAAUGAAGAUUAAUACCUUAUAGUAUUGCGACUUGGCAUCGAGUUGUAAUUAAAGAUUUAUCGGUAAAAGAUGGCUAUGCGUCCUAUUAGUUAGAUGGUAAGGUAACGGCUUACCAUGACUAUGAUAGGUAGGGGUCCUGAGAGGGAGAUCCCCCACACUGGUACUGAGACACGGACCAGACUCCUACGGGAGGCAGCAGUGAGGAAUAUUGGGCAAUGGAGGCAACUCUGACCCAGCCAUGCCGCGUGCAGGAAGACUGCCCUAUGGGUUGUAAACUGCUUUUAUACAGGAAGAAACACUAGUACGUGUACUAGCUUGACGGUACUGUAAGAAUAAGGACCGGCUAACUCCGUGCCAGAAGG